Molecule: ribosomal RNA, 440 nt
Filed under: uncultured bacterium
Lineage: Bacteria
Description: partial 16S ribosomal RNA
Rfam family: Bacterial small subunit ribosomal RNA
Source: RNAcentral
CCUACGGGAGGCAGCAGUGGGGAAUAUUGCACAAUGGGGGAAACCCUGAUGCAGCGACGCCGCGUGAGCGAAGAAGUAUUUCGGUAUGUAAAGCUCUAUCAGCAGGGAAGCAAAUGACGGUACCUGAGUAAGAAGCUCCGGCUAAAUACGUGCCAGCAGCCGCGGUAAUACGUAUGGAGCCAGCGUUAUCCGGGUUUACUGGGUGUAAGGGGAGCGCAGGCGGCCUUGCAAGUUUGAGGUGAAAUACCGGGGCUCAACCCCGGAGCUGCAUUGGAAACUGUGAUGCUGGAGUGUCGGAGAGGCAUGCGGAAUUCCUAGUGUAGCGGUGAAAUGCGUAGAUAUUAGGAGGAACACCAGGGGCGAAGGCGGCCUGCUGGACGAUGACUGACGCUGAGGCUCGAAAGCGUGGGGAGCAAACAGGAUUAGAUACCCCUGUAGUC